UAAGGAAUAUUGGACAAUGGAGGCAACUCUGAUCCAGCCAUGCCGCGUGAAGGAAUAAGGCCCUAUGGGUUGUAAACUUCUUUUAGACGGGACAAAACCCCUUUACGUGUAAAGGGUUGAUGGUACUGUCAGAAUAAGCAUCGGCUAACUUCGUGCCAGCAGCCGCGGUAAUACGAAGGAUGCAAGCGUUAUCCGGAAUUAUUGGGUUUAAAGGGUGCGUAGGCGGACUAAUAAGUCAGUGGUGAAAGCCUGCAGCUUAACUGCAGAAUUGCCAUUGAUACUGUUAGUCUUGAGUACAGUUGAGGUAGGCGGAAUGUGUCAUGUAGCGGUGAAAUGCUUAGAUAUGACACAGAACACCGAUUGCGAAGGCAGCUUGCUCAGCUGUAACUGACGCUGCGGCACGAAAGCGUGGGG
Molecule: ribosomal RNA, 414 nt
Filed under: uncultured bacterium
Lineage: Bacteria
Description: bacterial SSU rRNA
Rfam family: Bacterial small subunit ribosomal RNA
Source: RNAcentral